UAAACAAAAAUGAUAGAAAGUAUACCGAUUGUUAGCAAAUCUUUAUUAUUUAAAAUCAUUAAUUGUCAUAUAUAUCUUAAUCAUGUUAGGUAAUUUUGUAGGUUUUAUUUAAGAAAAAAUAUAUAAUAAUUUUAAUUUGAUAAAUGAAUGGUCCAUAGUGGACGUACUAUAUAAUAUAACAUUUCCUAGCAAUUUAAUUUUGGACUAACAAAAUUCUCAAUUGAUUCUCAAGCCGCCACGUAAGUAAAAUUAGCUUCCAAUUACGUGAUAACUCAGUAUGACACUUUUUUAAUUAAUACAAACUACAUGUUAUAACUUUUUAAAUGUUCCUUUUAAUAUAUAGGGGAUUUCAUUUCAAAAUUACCAUUAGGAUUAAGUUAUUAAUAGAUACAAGUUACUGAAACAAGUAAUUAAUACAUCUAUUUAUCUAUCUAUCUAUUACAAUAAAAUAGACUAUUCUCGUGCCUCCACUUCACUCUUGUAUAUCUGAAAAAAUGACACGUGUCAUAGUGUUUUUAAUGCUCGAAAUGUUCUCUUGCAAAGAUUUGAUUAUUGGACUAACUAUUUGAAUCUGAUAAAUGCAAUGGGCUCUUAAAAACUUUUAAGAAAAGACCCAUAUGAGUCAUCCUCUCCAAAACCCUAAUUUUCCACUUAUUCUGGCAGAGAGAAUAUCAGAGUAGCAGCUCUGAUUCACUUCAAGAGGUAGCCAUUAAGCUCACAUUUAAUCUCAGUUAACGCCAGAACCAACUAAGUCACGUUAAUCGCUCCACACCGCCCUCUUCAUCUUCUUCGCAGUCUCUACCCUAUAAAUGGCAUCUUCGGCCACAUGGUUUCCAGAAUCAUCUCUCUUUUCCACUCAACAUAUAUACACGGACCGCCGAGAGAGAUGGUGACGUCCCAGAUAUCGUUUUCCAAAUUAAAGCUCGGAGAUUGCAGCUUAACCGUUGUCACACUCCUUUUCCGGUGAGCUGAUUCUCGCUUGGAUACGUUAGAGAUUUACCCAGCAAUCGGGAACCAAAGAGCUGACAGUUACUUUCAUCAUCUCGGAACAUUCUUCCAUCACUGUAGAUGACCAGCCAGCAACUGAGACACAGCGUUUCCACUCAUUGGAAGAUUUCGAAGCGAACUACGGGCUGACAGGGGACCUCUUAUUCAUAGUUAAACAUGAUUGUUUAUCCCUCAGCCACAGAUUAACCACCCUUUCCCGGGAUAAUUUUUUCCACACAUAUGUAGAUGUCGUCGGGAACAUCAAGCUAAGCAACGGGCACCAAAAACGUCCGAUUCCUGAUUCUCGAGAGCAUGGACAGGUCAACGACUCGAGGUCUUGGUCAACCUACAGCCUAGAGAGGCCCAGUUGAAGGUUACCGUGGGACCAGGCUGCUGAAGAUAGCAGUCGGAAGUUUGACGGAAGUCUACAAAUGCAUAUCGUCCUAUCAAUCUUCUUUUCAAUCAAAUAUCAUGUUAUGUAUUGGUUCCCGAUUUACGGUUGAUCAGGAUGGAGCAGGAGUAACAUGAUAUUUUGUUCUAAAUGGAACUGUAAAAUCGCUCUUUACAAUUUCGUGUUCCAUGAGCUGCUCUAUCUCUUAAGCAAUGUUUUCCUCUGAAAAAAUGGAAAUUUCACUUUAAUCUUCAGAUUCUCUCAGUCACCAGCUUCAAGGUAUUUUCAUAAAUAAUUCACCGUAUUGUUCAUUGCUUCGGCUGCAAGAAUAAUAUUUUCUGUUUCCACCUCGAUCUCAAUCAUUGAUGAAAAGAUAAGUCAAAGCCAAAUUUUUGAAUAAAACCAGAACAUGAACUGUACAAUUCUUUGUUUUGGUUAGAAUGGUGACAGAGUUAUACUGGUAAGGUUGUUGGAACGACUGAGAAGUUCUGUAACAUUACAAAAGAAACGAAACACUUUUGUGUGUUUGUAUGUGCGUGUUUUUAUUACAUAGAUUUUAAAAGUCUUAUGAGUCUUGGUAUUUUUUUAGUACUAUGAACAAAAAUGUAAAGAAUUUACAUCCCAAUAUCAAUAAAAUUACAAAAUCAAUGUACGUAAACUUUUUGAAUAACAAAGCUUUUGAACAGAAUUUAAAAAUUUCACAUUUUCAAACCAAUAAAAGUGGACUUUAGUAAGAUUUUAAAAAUCUAUAAACCAAUAACAAAUGAAUCUCAAAUUUAUUGCAAUUCCUCUGGAAUCCAUCUACCAUCAAACCUUAAUUUAUUAAACCACAUCUUAACGUCCUUUCAACCAGCGGAAACCAGUGCUACACUAAUAUCUUUGACAAACAUCUGUUCAUUUAAUUUUUAUUAAGAACAAGCAACUAAAUUUUGCAAACCACGCCUGAACACGUGAACUCCAUGUUCGAUUUAGAUCACUUAAACCCUUAAGCAAGUAACUGAAUCUAAUGAUAGAGAACAUUCCAUAGUACAGAAUGGGAACAUCACACAUAUUGUGAAGCCUAAAAUUCUGUUGCAUCCAAACUUCAAUCUCUGCCGUUGCUGCUCUUCUCAUUCUAUUUAACUUCCCUAUCAAGCAGUCUACACAAGCCAUACUAAUUUAAGAUGCUCUAAUACCAUUUCCAAGACACCCAACAGAAAUAUACACAAACAGUUUGCAGUAGUAAACAUCAUUUCAGAGAGAAAAAGACUUUUAUUCACCACUUUAAAGCUUGCUUCAUUAUUAAGUCACGUUGCAGAAAGCAAAAUGCAGAAAAUGCAAUUGGUUGAUGAAAUGCAAAUAGACAUUGAGAUAACAUAUAUUUAUAAGCAAAGAUUAUCCUUUCCAUGAUGUUUGUUAGCCCUUCUCCUUGGAAGGAAAUCUAAAAAACAAUGUCUAAGAUGCUCAUUUUUUCCUCAAACAUUCUAUGGAACAUUCUCUCUAAAAUAAAAACUGUCAAAGUAAGAUGACUGUUACACAAAGAUGAUCAAACUAAUCAAACAAUCAGUAAACAACCAAAGGCUUAUCGUAAAAAUAAUGAUGCAAGGCUUUUUUUAAAUAUCAAAUAUAUCAAUAAUGUCAGCUCAAAAAGGGGAUCUGGGAACCGUUACAAGUCCGGUCGCCGGAAAAACAGAAGAUUCUAGGUUACAGUCACAAUGUUCUAAUCCUACAAGUAAAACCAAGCUAAGAGGAGAGGAGAAUCGGUUGGGGGAAAGAAGACAGGGGAGCAAGCUUCCUCCUCCGUUGAACACGGCAGCUGUAGUUUUCGAGCGUCUGGAUUUCACGUCACCGGUGUGUCCAAGACCAGUAAUCGCUCCACCACCAGUUGUCGUCACCUUUAGCCACACACGGAGUUUUCCCGCGGCCCCAAACCGCCGGCUUCAAAGAACAAGGUCCGGCUUCAAACAUAUUUGAAAUUUAACAACAGAAGAAGAUAAAACAAUAAAUAUCAAACCUUUUUUUGUUUGCUAAUAUGUAGUAACAUUUAAAAAGAAUAUGUUGCACAUACACAUUAUUUAAAAGAUCAUAUUUUAAAACAACAAUGAUAAACUAUGGAAAUAUAAAAUAUAUAUUGGAUCAAAAUAACAUUAGAACAAAAACAACACCAAAAUAAAUAAAACAAAUAAUAAAGCAAAACUAUACACUGAACUUUUUUUUGUGUAACUGAAAUAUACAGUGAACUUGAUAUUAAUGGGUAUCUGAAAAAGAAUUUGAUAGGGCUUCGCAUAUACACUGCAAUAUCAAUUGUAGAGUAAAUAUGAUGUAUAAUCAUGUACGCAAACACAACUUCUGCAGUGUGCCGACAAUCGACGAACAUAUUUUACAUCGAAAUGACAUCAUCAUUGCCGAUCGUAGUGUGGCUAAGGAGAGAGAACGACAGGGAGAGUGAUGCAAUCAAUAUCCAUCUAUCUGCUCCUAUGCUGCUUCUCUUUCUGCUGCAUAUAGUAUACCACUAAUUAACUUUAUUAUUUUUCCUAUGCGGGAGAAAUAACAUCUAUAAACAAAAGAAGCUUUAUACAGAAGCGAAAAAGAAACACACAACAAUAUCACGAGAGUUGUACAUCUACACUAAAUCACACAUAUAACUCUCACUACUCAAAACUUAGUCAAACCUUUCAACCACCCCAUCCCCAGAAGCAUUAGCAACCCUAGCAUCCCAGAAAUCAUAGUCUAUGUACACCCAAUCAACUUCACCGUCACUGCAUCUCUAAAACAAAUCUUCCAAAACCGCAACAGAGGACAUCAUACGAAACAAGGUCCAACAACUACAAUUUCGCUAACACCUUUAAACAAGUCAAAGUGACGCACACUUUCAAAUGUCUUAGCAUACAUUCCUUUUUAAAACACAAACUUAUGACCUAUAAAUCCAUUACGAUCAAUAGAGCCUUUAUCACAUAACCUACAUCCCAGACAUUAAACAUCUCACAUACAAUAACAAAACAACUAACCAUAAAACAUAACACCAUACUUCCAACUUAACCUACAUACUUUGUAGCCAACUCUUACUAAAAAAAACUAAUAGGCCCCAACGGCCAACUUCAUCAUUUUCACUUGCUUGGCAAACAACCCACUUCCAUCUACAUAUAAAACAAGCAAAUAUAACUCAGAUAUUUUCAUCCCAAUUAGUCAUCCAACCACUAUUGUCAUAAUGCCUCCUUCUAAUGGUUGGAAAUAAACUAAAUUCUUCAAAACUUACAAACACCCCAAACCACAUGUUUUCACACGUACCACAUGUUCACCCACACAUUAAGUAUAUUGCAAACUAAUAAGUAGAAGUACACAACUUCUAAACACAAUAUAAAACCACUACACAUCCUGGAGCACACAAGCUAAACACAUUACACAACAAACAAAUAAUAUCCCGCGCGAAACGCGGGAAAACCACUAGUAUAUAAUAAGACAGAGAGCCUAAACUAUGGAUUUUCUUUUUUUUUUCUUACACAGUGUAUGUUUAUUUUAACUUUAAAUUUUUUUUUUUUGGCCUAAGUUCUUUUACUUUUUAAAUUCAUAAUAACAUCUUACGAUGUUAAAUAUUCCUUAAAAUAAUUUACAAAAACUGUAUGUUUUGUGUAGUAUUGCUUUAAUAUAUUGAUGCUUGAUCUUACAUCUAAAUAUCGUAUUGAUGUAUCUGUUUGUUUUGUAAACUAUGAACAUUUAAUCUUAUGAUGUAUACACUCUCUGAGGAAUAUUCAGGUCUUAGGCUCCGAGUGGUAACUGCGGUUUGAGUGGUGCGGGACAAGCGGUUCAACUGCGGUGCGGUUUUAACAGUUAUAAAAAAGUAUAGAUAUAUGGUAUAUGUAGAGAUUUUUGUUACUGUUAAUUGCGGUGCGGGGUGGGACGGUUAUAAACAUUCGAAGCCUUGGUUAUGUGUAACAUAGAUUUUUACAAUAGAACUUAAGGUUUUAACCACGCGUCAGUGGUUGGGUGGCACAAGACGUUUUGUGAAUCUCUAAGAGACCCGAGUUCGAAUCCGCGCUGCUAACUCAUAUAAACAGGACACGUAGCCACCGGAGCUUUCACAUUCUCUCUCCGGGGAAAGGGGUCACCCAACUUAAGGUUUUUAGUGUUUUAUGAUCAUUGUUAUAGGUCGAAAAAGAGUUUUUAAGAAAAUAAGAAAAACAGUAAAGAGAUAUAAAGAUACAAUAAUCUUAUUUGGUUCCGUACACCAUUUGGUUUUAAGUAUAUGAGUUUGUUGUAGAUGGUUGCCUAAAAAAGCUGUAGAUGCUAACUUUCAUGACAUAUGAAGAUUGUUUGAUAGUGGAGAACAACAGUCAUCAAACCAUCAUCAUAAGCAGAAUUAUUAUAAAUAAAUAUAUAUAUAUAUAUAUAUUCUAAGAUUACAUAUAGAUUCUGAAACACCAUACGUAAGAACUUGAUUGUUAUUAAGAAAAUGGAAAUUCAGUGAUUGGAAAAGAAAAUCAGUUUUAUUCAGUUGUAUAAUUGUGCUUAACAAUUUAUUUUUAUGAGAACACAAACAUGUAGGAUAAAAGAGUAUUAGGAUCAUAACUAUUGCUUAGUUAACUAUUUAUUAAACUCACAGUCUUGCUCAACAUCUCAUAUAUAUGAUACUACAAGAGAAUAGCUCUAUUGUAACGUAAAAAUUGCGACGUCCAUUUUCGCUAAUAAUUUGCUAUGAUUAUUGCAAUAUUUUUGCAAUAAUAAAUAUUUGUUACAGUUUCAUUACAAAUUUAUUGCAAAAUAACAACUAUAACAGAAGUUGCAUAUUUUGUUACUAAAUUGCAAUUUUUUUCAACAUAAACAAAUAUCUUGAAAUUUUGCAAGAGACGUUCAACAUUUUUGAAUCAUUGCUAAUUUGCAAAAAAAAAAAAAUUUAAAUAAAUAUAUGGCAAAAAAUGUGACAGUGAUUAUAUUUUUUAUUAUAUGUUUUAUAGAAAAUAGACAAUAUUUGUUUAUAUUGUGUAUUUAAACAUGUACACUAUUUUUUUUUAAGUUUCAGAUUCUUAAGAUUUUGUUAAUAGUUUUAUUUUAUGAAGUUCAUUUUGUUUUCAUCAUAUAAUUUACUUAUUCCUAUUCAAAAUAAAAAGAAAUUAGACAAAAAAUAACUAUAAAUUAAGAGGAUGAUUGGUAGUUGUUGUAGGUGCUGUCGACAGCCCUAUUUAUUUCUACAGCACCAAAUUCACAGCAAUCAACCUUUUUUUUUUUUUGAAACCACAACUCUUGAAAUAACCUACAGCUGUACAAGUGCUCUGCAAAGCCAAAUAUCCAAAUCAAUUGUCUAGUGCUUUCCAUAAAAUUCUACAACAAUAAAAUCUAAAGCCACAGCAAAAAGUUUAUAUAUUUUUUUCUACAGUAAAAUUUUUAAAACUACAUCCAUUACGAAUCUGACCAUAAAUAUGCUAUAUACAUAACAUCUUAAUCUCUUCUUAUUUUUUUUCUUUUAACUCAGAUAAAGAUACGUGACAUACGUCCAAGGUUUAAUCAAAAAACUAAUAUACAUUAUAAUGAGGCACUUUACUCACUACUCAACGCGCCACGUCAGCGUCAGGUGGACCCACUUAAAAAAGUGUGAAAAAGUGUUCAAUCCAUUCUUUGAACCUGGGUUAUUCAGAUACAAACACCAACAUUAAUACCACUAAACUAAAGGAUAAUUUGUUCAUUGAUUGUCGAAACUAAUAUAUAUUUAUGAAGGUCAAAAACUCUUGUUUCUUUGGCUUCCUCUGAGGGUCAGGCCUACAAGUGUAUUAUGGGUUUCAUUUUUAUAUAGGAUGAUUCAUCACGUUAUAUGAAGAAAAAUCUCAAGUUUGCAACUAUUAUAUUUUCUCAUAUUGUAAACCGUUAAUAUGAGUUAGGGUUCUUUUCAUCAUUGUCUCAAACAGAUUUGAGUUACAGAGUAGCGCCGUGUGUCUGUUCGUAAUCUAUCUUUUCACCGGUGAACUCUUCAUCUCCCCAUUUAAAUCGCUUGAUCAUAAAUGUUCCUGAUUUGUAGCCCCUCUGUAAACCCUAUAUAUAUGAUUCUCAUCUUUGAUGAACCCAAUCUGCAUCUCCACAAAACUCAUUGAUUCUUCUUAGCUUUAAGCAUGUUUUAGAAAAAUUUUCUUUCUGCCUCUUCAGUUCCGCAAACCGUUGUCCCCGGCGUCCGUCACUCAACCUUCGAGUCUCCCAGUCUUGGUCGUAAUAGUCAUAGCAUAGCCGCUGGCCUCCUCCGCUUUUGAGAUUCCCCGAACUUCAAGAAAGACAGUGAAUUUAUGAGAAUCACGGUUCUCUUCCUUGAUGAAAAGGUAAGUUAAUCUUCGAUCUAUUACACUUAUUUAAUAUAAUUGUUUUUAAUUGAUUUCGUGAUUAUUUGUUAAAUAAUAUUAUUUGCAGAUUGCGUGAUUCACGGAUUCAUUUCCGCCGGACUUGCUAAUCAUUACAUGUCAUCUUUGAAAGUUGGUUCAAUUGUGAAAGUCGAUCAUUUUGAGGUUUCUAGGUGCUCAAACAUGUACAAGAUAACUGAUCAUCUAUUCCUCAUUUGUUUCAUCCCACCAACCAUUAUUGAUGAAGUCAUCACGGAUGCUCCUAAGUCAAUCUCCAGUCAUGAUUAUACUAUUCGACAAUCUCCAAGUGAUUGUGAACACAAACCUAGAACACAAGUGUAUAUUAACAUAUUGCAUUUAUGUUUAUAUUAUGUUUUGAUAUCAUAACUGAUAUUUAAACUCGCAUAUGUGGUUUGUCAAAUCCGUUCUGUCCAGGGUUUUGACCUCACAAAAGAAACAACUCGAGUCGUGAUCCGUCUCCUCAUUGACCCAUAAGAAACAAUCAACACACAGUUCCCUUCAUAUUACUGUCACUACAAGAAAACACAAGUUUUACGAUGGCAGUUUUCCUCGUUACUUCGUCGUAAAAGCAGUGUUACGACGAAUUACCGAGGAAACCCGUUUCGUCGUUAUACGUUUGUCGUAACGCAUAUAUCCUCGCUAAUUCGUCGUAAGUUAGCGAGGAA
Brassica rapa (field mustard) is the source of this 8360-nucleotide long non-coding RNA. RefSeq lists it as uncharacterized. The record is from RefSeq and is a predicted model, not a curated record. NCBI's taxonomy places the organism in Eukaryota, Viridiplantae, Streptophyta, Magnoliopsida, Brassicales, Brassicaceae.